Molecule: long non-coding RNA, 1043 nt
Organism: Salvia miltiorrhiza (redroot sage)
Lineage: Eukaryota; Viridiplantae; Streptophyta; Magnoliopsida; Lamiales; Lamiaceae
Exons: 3
Source: RefSeq, a predicted model, not a curated record
ACUUAUGUGAAUUUGAUGAUUACAUACGUGAUAAUUUAUUUUUAUUUUUAUUUCAACGGAUGAUGCACUCAAAAUAUAUUUUGAGUCCAUUAAGAGAAUGAUGGAGCUCAAAGAUUUAUUUUGAGUUUUCAAAUCGAAAAAAAAAAUUAUGUAUUUAUUUAUUUUUACCGAGAAAUUUAGGAAUGAUGAGUUAUAAAAAUUUUCCAUCAAUAUUUUUCUCAAAUUAUUUUCCUAUGAUGUAUUUAUAAAUUGAGAGAGUGCACUAAUGUUAGUGCUAUUUAUUCUAAUUUUGAUCACAAGAGUUUUAUGCUCUAGCAUUUUAUCAAUUGAUGAUUAGUCUUACAUAUAUUUUUUUUUUUUACACAUGGGUUAUUACUACACCACAUUUUUAUAUUUACUUAAUGUAACACCCCAUUAUCCUCCACUAAUAUUUUCUUUUCCCUACCACUAAUCUUUUUCCCUACCACCACUAAUAUUUUCUUUUCCCUACCACUAAUCUUUUUCCCUACCACUACUCCUACCUUUCCACCACACUACUCCUUUUCCCCCACCACUACAUUAUUUCUCCCACUCUCACAACUUUUCUCCCACCAUUAUCACACUCCAUAGAAGCCUUUGAAGCCCCAAGAGAAGUAGCAAAGCAAGGGAGAGUGUGGGAAAACUAUAGAGUGAAGGUUGUGCUUCGAGGGUCCGGGCGACAGAAAGUGAAGCCGAAGAAGAAACGACUCCACGCCAGCUUUAAGAACAAUUGAGGUUGAGCAGGCGAUGGAGUGGAUCGGUGUUGAGCGGAUUUCCCUUUUGAUGUUUAUGUAAUGAAACCUUGAGUAUGCAUCUCCAUAUGCAUAACUCACACGUUUUUUUUCGCUGCAAACACUCUGACUUAUUUAUCAUUUCUACUUGAACUUAUUACUACUUCAUUUUAAUUAACUUUCAGUUGGGGUCUAGUCGUUAUGGCAGACUCAUUUGUGAAUUACCCAAGUGGUUAUAUAUAUACCACUAGUUUGUUAUUAAUGUUGGUUACUUAGUAAAUCCCCUUUAAUUUC